UGUGUGUGUGUGUGUGUACGGGUGCUAAGCUUGGAUCAUUCUCACCACAGCUCUCUGAGAUAGGAGAGUUCAAGAAAAGGCUUUAUAUAAGGUCACACAGCUCAUGAAUGGUGGAGGGAGGACUCGAACCCUGGAGCCUCCACCUCCAGAACCCAAGUUCUUAACUAUAACACUGUACAGCCAUUUAAGUCACCUGCUCCUCACCCAAGUAGUGAAGGUCAGAACUGGAGUUUCAACAGAUUCCAAAGCCAAUGGUUUUUCUCUCUCCAGGGGUUGGCAUAUUAUAACCUGUGGGCCAAAUCUGGCCUAUUGCCAGUUUUUAUAGAUAAAAUUUUCCUGGGAAACAGCCAUAUCCAUUCACUUAUGUAUUGUCUAUGCAGAACACAUGGCCAGCAAGCUUGAAAUAUUUACUCUUUGAGUCUUCACUGAAAAAGUUUGCUGAUCCCUGCUCUAUGCUGUUCAACCUAAUGGUCAUAAUACUCUCUGCUCACCAAAAGCCAAGGUGCCCUGUCACCAUGGAGCUCCCUGGGCCUUCACAUCCCUGGCAGUAUGCCUUUUGAGCCUCCUGGCUGUGGUUAGAGAAAAACCAAAUGUCAAAGACAGGAGCCCAGGCUCCCAACUCCACUGGCCAGUGGUGUGUCUGUCCUUCAUCUCACUCAGCACACAAAUGCCUGUGUUGUCUGUCCUCUCCAAUUCUCCCUAAUGUGCCUUUCCCACCGGAAUACUCUACAGGUCAGAGCCUAUUCUGAGCUCAGGGUCUGUGAAGGAGGUCUGAGGCCAGCAUCUCAUCAAGAUUUUUCCAAUUCUUCUCGAAUGGGACUAAACCAGGUUGAAAACAGAAGCUGAAAUCUUCCCAAUGGUCUCCCUGCUUACGUGGACUUCCUGAAGAGGAUGAGAUGGGCGUACUACGAGAGAAAACACCAGAAGCAAUCAUGACAAAGUCUUAGUCCGCAUCAUGUGACCAGAACCAACAGGAUUUGUCUGGGGACCUUGUCUGGAAAAUUCUUACACCAUCAAGAGACAGUUCUGGGUUGGAUUUCUACAAAAGAAGAGUUAAGGACCAUAUCCUAGGUGAAGAACAGCCCAUGGAGCCUUGUGCCUCCAUCAGCAACAAGAAGAGAAUGGCUGUAGGCUGGCUGCUGAAAGCCAACAGCACUAAACAAAUUCACUCACAUGGCCUUUGCCAACUGCAGUGGUACCUCUCUGACUUUUCUGACUUGUUCCUACUCUUUUCUGACUCUUUCCUCAACAAAUGCACAUUUCUUACUAUAAUGCCACAACGGAAGCCAGACAGACUUUGAAUUUUUACAUCUG
Canis lupus familiaris (dog) is the source of this 1314-nucleotide long non-coding RNA. RefSeq lists it as uncharacterized. Lineage: Eukaryota; Metazoa; Chordata; Mammalia; Carnivora; Canidae. The transcript has 4 exons. The record is from RefSeq and is a predicted model, not a curated record.